This is a small nucleolar RNA of Medicago truncatula (barrel medic), 98 nucleotides long. It matches the Rfam family "Small nucleolar RNA Z43". Rfam says of the family: Z43 is a member of the C/D class of snoRNA which contain the C (UGAUGA) and D (CUGA) box motifs. Most of the members of the box C/D family function in directing site-specific 2'-O-methylation of substrate RNAs. The record is from Rfam. Lineage: Eukaryota; Viridiplantae; Streptophyta; Magnoliopsida; Fabales; Fabaceae.
GGACUGUGAAGAUUUCUGUGAUAGGUCUCGUUCGUCGUAAUUGGUCUUUUUCGACCUUGCCGACCAUCCUGUUAUAUCACCACCCAUAUUCUGAGUCC